RNAcentral lists this ribosomal RNA (253 nucleotides) under uncultured bacterium. RNAcentral's name for it is "partial 16S ribosomal RNA". It matches the Rfam family "Bacterial small subunit ribosomal RNA", at positions 524 to 776 of the family's 1533-position model. The record is from RNAcentral.
UACGGAGGGAGCUAGCGUUGUUCGGAAUUACUGGGCGUAAAGCGCACGUAGGCGGCUAUUCAAGUCAGAGGUGAAAGCCCGGGGCUCAACCCCGGAACUGCCUUUGAAACUAGAUAGCUAGAAUCUUGGAGAGGUCAGUGGAAUUCCGAGUGUAGAGGUGAAAUUCGUAGAUAUUCGGAAGAACACCAGUGGCGAAGGCGACUGACUGGACAAGUAUUGACGCUGAGGUGCGAAAGCGUGGGGAGCAAACGGG